Molecule: non-coding RNA, 981 nt
Organism: Nothobranchius furzeri (turquoise killifish)
Lineage: Eukaryota; Metazoa; Chordata; Actinopteri; Cyprinodontiformes; Nothobranchiidae
Source: RefSeq, a predicted model, not a curated record
GAGACCAAGCGUUUCACAUUGCAACACAAGCACCGGUAACCAUAACAGAAUGAACAACAGCCAGCAGAGGAGAGGAUGGCGGUGUUUCCACCCCUCCCGGCCGGCGAGGAGAGCUCAUUCCUGGGCUGGAGCCGGCCCUCAGCACCCCGCCACAGGCUCUAACAGAUGCUGGCGGUGUUUGAAACCCUCCCAGCGGGACAGGGGAACUCAUUCCUGUGUGGGUCGGAGUCGGCCCGCAGCAGCGUGGUGUAGCCUACAUAUUUUGUUAUAUAAGUCGCUCCGGAGUAUAAGUAGCAGGACCUGCCAGAAAAUGUAAAAAAGUGCGAGUUAUAGUCCGGAAAAUAUUGCAGUUAUUAGUAUUCGAGCUAAAUUAGCAGCGUAAAUACAUUUCAUAUAUUUCCAAAAUGUUAUACUUGUUUGUAUCUUGUACAGCCAACUAGUCUUUAUUCUGGACUCAGUACAAUUUACCAAAAGUAAAGAGACAUUCUACAGAUGAAGUAAGCACAAGAUAACUUACUGGAAGACACGGAAUUAUCAUCAGAACCAGAACAAGAGAGCCUGAUAACAGUCGUGAAAAUAACAGUUAAAAAGUAUGUAUGUAUAAUAGAAAUAAAAAUAUAUUAGAAUUAGUGUAACUCACUGUGAUCCAAACAAUAAAUCAGCCAUAGCUGAUUAGUAAAUAUGACAUGAGGUCUGGGAGUUUUUAAUUUUCAUUUUUAUUUUUUUGUUAGAUCUGUUUAAAUGUCACCAUGGCAGCCUGUGUGUCUCCAACAUCAGCUACACAAAGCAGCAAGUCCAUUUGGAUCAUUGGAGACAGCUGAGUGAGGCGUGGUGCCCAGAGAGCUGCAGAGACAACCUUGGCCUCCCUGACGUCUGUGUCUCCUGGUUCGGUUGGGGCGGACCAUCGACAUACAUACAUGUGCCGACACUUUGCGCCCUGUUUUAUAAACUGUAGUGUUAAAAAUAAAUGUUUUUGCUCAA